RNAcentral lists this ribosomal RNA (385 nucleotides) under uncultured soil bacterium. RNAcentral describes it as "bacterial SSU rRNA". It matches the Rfam family "Bacterial small subunit ribosomal RNA", at positions 26 to 414 of the family's 1533-position model. The record is from RNAcentral.
AGAUUGAACGCUGGCGGCAUGCUUUACACAUGCAAGUCGAACGGGCGUGUUGGGGCAACCUGGCAGUCAGUGGCGGACGGGUGAGUAAUGCAUCGGAACGUGUCCCGUAGUGGGGGAUAACCCGGCGAAAGCCGGACUAAUACCGCAUAUGCUCUACGGAGGAAAGCGGGGGACCUGAAAGGGCCUCGCGCUAUGGGAGCGGCCGAUGUCCGAUUAGCUUGUUGGUGGGGUAAUGGCCUACCAAGGCGACGAUCGGUAGCUGGUCUGAGAGGAUGAUCAGCCACACUGGGACUGAGACACGGCCCAGACUCCUACGGGAGCAGCAGUGGGGAAUUUGGACAAGUGGGGCAACCGUGAUCCAGCCAUGCCGCGUGCGGGAAGAAGG